GAAAAUUCUUAUUUUUUAAAAUUUUCAUUUUUCUUAACGACCUAUUUCCGCUAAAAGAUCAACCUAUGCUGAGUUGGCUCUCGACUUUUCAUUAGUAUUUUCAAUUCAAGAAUCAUUUCUCUUAACAAGUUAAGAUAAGAUCAUAUAUAGCUAGUCUAAUAAUUUAGGUUUGAAAAUGUUUUUUCGAGAAAAUUAAAACGUUUACAAAAAGUUUUGAAAAAUGUUUGCAAGAGUCUUGCUUUUUGCAAGACCAAGACCAAGACUAGGCGUGCAAGACCAAGACCAGACAGAUUUGAGCAAGACCAAGACC
Aricia agestis (brown argus) is the source of this 310-nucleotide long non-coding RNA. RefSeq lists it as uncharacterized. The record is from RefSeq and is a predicted model, not a curated record. The transcript has 3 exons. Lineage: Eukaryota; Metazoa; Arthropoda; Insecta; Lepidoptera; Lycaenidae.